GCGGUGGAGCAUUGUGGUUUUAAUUUCGAAGAUACGCGAAGAACCUUUACCUGGCCUUGACAUUGAUAGAUCUGGUAGAGAUACUGGAGUGCUAGCUUGCUAGAACUUGAAAACAGGUGCUGCACGGCUGUCGUCAGCUCGUGUCGUGAGAUGUUGGGUUAAGUCCCGCAACGAGCGCAACCUCGUCGUUAGUUGCUAACAGUUAGGCUGAGAACUCUAACGAGACUGCCUUCGUAAGGAGGAGGAAGGUGAGGACGACGUCAAGUCAUCAUGGCCCUUACGGCCAGGGCUACACACGUGCUACAAUGGGGUGUACAGAAAGCUGCAAUAUCGCGAGAUGGAGCAAAUCUCAAAAACACCUCCCAGUUCGGAUUGUUCUCUGCAACUCGAGAACAUGAAGUUGGAAUCGCUAGUAAUCGUAGAUCAGCAUUGCUACGGUGAAUACGUUCCCGGGUCUU
Molecule: ribosomal RNA, 458 nt
Filed under: uncultured Arcobacter sp.
Lineage: Bacteria; Pseudomonadati; Campylobacterota; Epsilonproteobacteria; Campylobacterales; Arcobacteraceae
Description: bacterial SSU rRNA
Rfam family: Bacterial small subunit ribosomal RNA
Source: RNAcentral